GAAGAGAGGGGCGCGGUGGUGCGGCAGAUAAGAAGGAGGGAUUCCAGGUCUAGACUUCGCCCUCUCUGUGUGCGCGUUUCACCGUCUUCUCCCGACGUAGCCACCACCAGGCUCGCGACGACGGAGGCAGGGGAAGUAGUGUACGUCGGCGGCUGACUCGAGGCGGAGGAGUUAGACGUAGGGAGAAGCAGCGCGUGCCGUUGUCCCACUCCCAACACUACCCUUGCGGCCCUACCGCCGCUCUUCACCUGGAAACUCGACCGACGGCCAGGAGAGUCCAUGUUCUAAAAUGAGGUACGGUAUCUGCACGUUGUACUACCAAAUUGUAUGGUUUCAAUUACCCGAUAACACACUUGAUACGUCCAAGCCCUCUGUUCCUUCCUUGGUCUACGAGGGUUUCAAGAAGACCAACUCAGCUAAUGAAUGAUCGUUACUAUAAGUGUUACCCUUCGGAAAUAUCGUCCGAUGAAACUAACUAAGGGUUUGAUACCGAAUCAAUGUUUACAAAACCACCACUACAAAGUAUGUGGUCAGGUCACAACGAUGGGUUACUACUCAACAUACUUCGUGAAACUUUACGAAACUUCUUUCAUAAAAUCCACCACCAAGAUGACGACGAUGAGGACACUGUCGGUUCCGCAUCCAACGUCGAGCGUCUCAAAAUUCCUACUUUCCUUCUGUGAAAGAAAAACCUCUCUGGAAGUUCACGUGCACCUUCACAUCAUUCGUUGUAAUACGCUGUUACUGUGUGAAGAAUAACCACGCAAGUGUGGGAGAUUUCUGGUGUUAGUCUGAUUCUACGGAUUUAUUCGACACUCCGACGUAUAUAUAUUCACAAAGACAUUUGGCUAUAUUCAUCAAUAAGAUGAUAGACAUUAUGUUAGGUGUAACGUA
RNAcentral lists this ribosomal RNA (894 nucleotides) under Triticum aestivum (bread wheat). Its description in RNAcentral is "partial small subunit ribosomal RNA". The record is from RNAcentral. Lineage: Eukaryota; Viridiplantae; Streptophyta; Magnoliopsida; Poales; Poaceae.